CCUACGGGUGGCAGCAGUGGGGAAUAUUGCACAAUGGGGGAAACCCUGAUGCAGCAACGCCGCGUGAGUGAUGACGGCCUUCGGGUUGUAAAGCUCUAUCUUCAGGGACGAUAAUGACGGUACCUGAGGAGGAAGCCCCGGCUAACUACGUGCCAGCAGCCGCGGUAAUACGUAGGGGGCGAGCGUUGUCCGGAUUUACUGGGCGUAAAGGGAGCGUAGGCGGACUUUUAAGUGUGAUGUGAAAUACCCGGGCUCAACUUGAGUGCUGCAUUGCAAACUGGAAGUCUAGAGUGCAGGAGAGGAGAAUGGAAUUCCUAGUGUAGCGGUGAAAUGCGUAGAGAUUAGGAAGAACACCAGUGGCGAAGGCAGCUUACUAAACUGCCACUGACAUUGAUGCUCGAAAGUGUGGGUAUCAAACAGGAUUAGAUACCCGAGUAGUC
This 440-nucleotide ribosomal RNA is filed under the name uncultured bacterium. RNAcentral describes it as "partial 16S ribosomal RNA". It matches the Rfam family "Bacterial small subunit ribosomal RNA", at positions 338 to 795 of the family's 1533-position model. The record is from RNAcentral.